This 274-nucleotide ribosomal RNA is filed under the name uncultured bacterium. RNAcentral describes it as "partial 16S ribosomal RNA". It matches the Rfam family "Bacterial small subunit ribosomal RNA", at positions 523 to 796 of the family's 1533-position model. The record is from RNAcentral.
AUACGGAGGGUGCAAGCGUUAUUCGGAAUCACUGGGCGUAAAGGACGCGUAGGCGGGUUGGCAAGUCAGAUGUGAAAUCCUACAGCUUAACUGUAGAACUGCAUUUGAAACUGCCGACCUAGAGUAUGGGAGGGGGAGAUGGAAUUAGUGGUGUAGGGGUAAAAUCCGUAGAUAUCACUAGGAAUACCGAAAGCGAAGGCGAUCUCCUGGAACAUAACUGACGCUAAGGCGUGAAAGCGUGGGGAGCAAACAGGAGUAGAAACCCUAGUAGUCC